AAAUACGGUAAGAGCGAAACAGGAGGAAGCCAGCUCAGUGCCUGGAGGGGACCCGCCGCCAUCUCAGGUCUCUUGGCUUUGCCAGGGCCCACCGGAGAAAACUGAAGCCCCGUUUCUAUAAUCCUUAUGGGAGACCAACCUUGUGCCUCCGGGAGAUCCACUCUCCCACCUGGAAACACACGGGAAGCCAAGCCUCCAAAAAAGCGCUGCCUCCUAGCUCCGCGGUGGGAUUAUCCAGAAGGAACUCCCAACGGAGGUAGUACCACUCUCCCCUCCGCACCUCCUCCUCCAUCAGCCGGCCUGAAGUCGCACCCUCCUCCUCCGGAGAAGUAGAGAAAUAAAUCUCUCCCAUCCUAAACCAGUCUUUGAGGGAUUGCAGUAUGACUCCAUUUCCCCGGUGCAUUCACGUAAUAGUUCACUUGGUGAAAACAAUGAAGAUUAUUUACAAUGCUACCCUGCUUUUUCUGAUGUCCUGCACCUGGAAGAUGUGCUUCUUAAGUCUUAUGAUGUAAUCAGCGUGAUUUCACCUCAUGAGUUUGGAUGAAUUCUAGGAUGUGGGCAAGAUCGGGUUGUAAAACCUCUAAGAUUUACAGCCAUGGCCUGGAUCAUGAUGAAUUUACCAAAGCAAAUAACACCUGUGAGAUGGUCCUGCAGCAGCCAACCAGUGCGCUCUUUUUGUGACAUCCAGUUCUUGUUGUAUAACUUUAUAUUCCUAUAAAUCCAUGAAGGUCCCAAUAAAAUUUGUCUCUAA
Molecule: long non-coding RNA, 751 nt
Organism: Callithrix jacchus (white-tufted-ear marmoset)
Lineage: Eukaryota; Metazoa; Chordata; Mammalia; Primates; Cebidae
Product: negative regulator of P-body association
Source: RefSeq, a predicted model, not a curated record